This 481-nucleotide ribosomal RNA is filed under the name uncultured bacterium. Its description in RNAcentral is "partial 16S ribosomal RNA". It matches the Rfam family "Bacterial small subunit ribosomal RNA", at positions 28 to 523 of the family's 1533-position model. The record is from RNAcentral.
GACGAAUGCUGGCUGCGUGCUUAACACAUGCAAGUCGAACGGUGAAGGGGAGCUUGCUCCCCGGAUCAGUGGCGAACGGGUGAGUAACACGUGGGCAACCUGUCCCUCACUCUGGGAUAACUCCGGGAAACCGGGGCUAAUACCGGAUACGACCGGGAGCGACAUCGCUCCUGGUGGAAAGAACUUCGGUGAGGGAUGGGCCCGCGGCCUAUCAGCUAGUUGGUGGGGUAACGGCCCACCAAGGCGACGACGGGUAGCCGGCCUGAGAGGGCGACCGGCCACACUGGGACUGAGACACGGCCCAGACUCCGACGGGAGGCAGAAGUGGGGAAUAUUGCGCAAUGAGCGAAAGCCUGACGCAGCGACGCAGCGUGAGGGACGAAGGCCUUCGGGUUGUAAACCUCUUUCAGCGGGGACGAAGCGAAAGUGACGGUACCCGCAGAAGAAGCACCGGCUAACUACGUGCCAGCCGCCGCCGUAA